Long non-coding RNA from Dromaius novaehollandiae (emu), 2829 nucleotides. RefSeq lists it as uncharacterized. The record is from RefSeq and is a predicted model, not a curated record. The transcript is spliced from 3 exons. Lineage: Eukaryota; Metazoa; Chordata; Aves; Casuariiformes; Dromaiidae.
CCCUGUCGCUGGUGAGGUCUGUGCCUGACAGCGAUAACUUUGGGACGGCAUUCGUGGAGGUCCUAAGUGGUGCAGGAGCCCUCAGAAACGCGUGUCCCUCAGCACCCGAGCAGAGCACGUCUCUCAGCUUGCUGGUGGAGCGCUUGGACAACUUUUCCCAGCGAUUUUCUUGAGAUCCUGCCAAUUUGAGACAAAUGGAGAGAGGCUGAAAGAAAAACGCACACAAUCUUUGUUGACCCUUCGCGGUGAGGAUGCCGAUGGGACCCCAUCUUCAGGCUUAGUUUGAGCUCCACAAGCUGACAGUGAGAACAAGAAGCUCGGCAGGAUCAGGGCAGAGUAUUACAGGAUGAACUAAAAUAUCCUGUAUUAAAAAGAUUGGGUGAAAUCAGCUUCUCUGCACUGGAAGCGCUCCGUACUGCCCGGAUCCCGGUGCCGCUCGUGGUGGGAGGAGCGCAGCUCCCGGCCUCCCUGGGACCCGCUCCCGGAUACAGCGGGCGAAAUGGAGAUAUGCCAGCGGCACCUUGAAGCGGCGUGCCUGCUGCGCUCGGGGACUCCGGGUCAGCUGUCCUUGCUGGGCGCUCUGCUGGGACGUGCCGCACUGCGAGAGCUGGGAGCUUCGCCGAGCAGGACCCACGGGGGAGGCCGGCGUGGAGAGCUCGCGUGGGCACCGCUCUGCGCCGGGUCCGCACGAAACCGUUAGCUCUGGGAGCAAAGCGUUGCUGGAGCGCGCGUUUCCAAUGCUGCAGACGAGUGAAGCGUUGGGGUUUUUUGUGCUCUGGUUUGGAUGCGAGGUUUAAAAAGAGCCUGCCCUAAAAUACACAUUUCACUGUCCAGGCAAAAACAAAUGAUUUGCGUAUUUCGAUGGCAGUGUCGUUGCUGCAGUAGGGCUCCUGCUGCUGGGCUUUCCCCAGGCUGCCGUGUUUUGGGUUCAGACCGCAUCUAUCUGGAUUUUCACCUUCCUUCGUGGGUCUGACUCUGUUCAUAGUCCUUUCAAUAACAGCCCUACAAGCGUUUUUCACUGCUCUUAUUACAGUUGUAUUUAAUCCCUCAGCACCUUCAGUUCAGGUCUUACACCUGGACUUGCAAGAAGUAUGAUUUUAAGGCCCUGCGCAGGUGUUUGCUACCUCCCUGCAGCCCAGCCUGGCUGCGCUGGGCCCGGUCAGCAGCGGGAGCCACGGGGGCCGGCCCCGCGGCAGUGCACGGAGGGGUGGCCCCAGCCCGGCGUGGGGCCGGGGCACGAUGCCCUCUCCCACUCUCCAAAGAGCACUUUGUGUUCAGGUUUCGCUGGCGGGGAGUACCCUGCACCUAAGCAGAAAAAGGUAAAACUUGCAUGUAUGGGGGCUUGCACCAGUGUACCUACAAGAGCUUGAAACCGAAGUACUGUAAGCUGAGCUGAGAUGCUCAGGUAGGUGAAGCCCAAGUGGCGCCAGGCCAGGCCAGGCGUGCAGCCGGAGGCCGGACCGACGACCGCAUCUGUGCACGUCCUGGCUCCCGGCUCCCUCCCCGACAGGCCGGUUGCAGAUCCCAGCGGGCUGCGUGCACAGGGGCCUCUCGCGUGUGCUCGGUUGCAUUUUGGGGGGAAGAGGCUGCGUGCUGCGUAGGGGGGCCUCUGCUGCCCCAGAGGCGUCAAACUGCGAAACGUCACCUCCGAAGCGGAGCGCUGGCAGCCUGCCUCCAAAAUCCGUGGUCUGGCGAGAGGCGAGGCACGGGCUCGGCAUCGCCGGGAUCAGCCAUCCCGACCCCGCGGGGAGACCCCGGCGGCACCGGGCGCCGUGAGGCCUCUGCUGGCGUUAACCUCGCGUCUUCCCGCGGCGCUGGCUGGAGAGGCUGGUUUGUAACCGAGCUGGGGGUGCCGGUAAUCCGUAAAAGAAAGAUGGACAAGCUGUUACAUUGUUAUAUUUCGCUACCUAUCAUUUUAAUGUCACUUUUAAUGUAUGAAUUAUACCCCCAUCGUGUGUAAUUAUAUUUCUCCUCCCAGCCCUGCUCAAGGAACAAUGGUGAGAUGAUGCUGUUAAUAUUAAAAACAGCACAUCUCUCUCAAAAAAAGUUAGAGGUCACACCUUAUUUCCUAGUGCAUGAGGAUAGUUAAUCAAAAGAUGAUGGGACUGGAAUGAGUCCUGCACAAUUUCUUGUGGAAUUUAAUUAGAAAGGAUGUAUUAACAGCAUCUGUAUGUGCAACUCUGUUUUGCCUUGUAAUGUGGAUAGCCAUACCUGGAGCCAGGUUCAUGGAAAGCCUGUAUCUCUCUUUUUUUCUCUUUUCUUUUUAUAAAGGAAAAUAAUGAGUGAAAAUCAGUAAUAAUAAUACUUAAUAGCAAUAAACCCCAGCAGGAAUCAACUUCUUAUCAGUUCUCCUUAGAGUUUCUCUUUUAGGUCAAGAGAUGGUGCUAAUCGAUGAGGCAUUUUGCAAAAGUUCGUGCUCUACUUGUCCCAGUAAUGAACCUUCAACCUUUAAUUUUCUUAGCAGUGCAUAGUUCCUCGAUGGGAAAUUAACUGUGGGGGCCUUUAUCUUGGAGAACCAAUUAUUUAUGCUAACCGGGGUGUUCCCACUGCUUUGACUCCAGUCGCGGGUUGCUUGGGCAGGUCCAUUCCUGCGCUCUCCACUUGGUCACUGUGGGAUGUGCGCUGGCAUGAGAGCAAUGCCUUUAAACUAGUUUCUUCCAAAAAUUAUGUACUGCAGUCCAGCAGCAAAGACCUUAUUCUAGAUGCAGAUCCGUGGAGUACUGCUGCUGAAUGGCAUGAUGGGGACAUUUUUAAGUAGAGAUAUAAUUUAUUGUAACAAAGAGAAGUGGAUUUCUGUCCCUUCCCACUCAAUAUAGACUGAAUUUCUUA